UCUUUCCUUCUCUGAGAUAGAGAGAAUGAGGGCGUGGCACAGAGGAGGUCCUCCAUGGAAAGUCUAAGGAACAGCCAAGCUUGGGAAGAAAGCCUAGAUUGAGUGCUGGAAGGAAUGUGGACAACAGCCAAAGCUCUCCGGCCAGAGUCUAAUACUUCACUACAUUUACAUGUCAUUGAAAUACUAACAGAUAGGAAGCAACUGUUACCAGACCAAGUUGCACCUAUUACAAUUAAUGCUGUUUAGUAAUUGUUAUUGUUAUAAAUGAUGAUAAAGGGAGAAUUUUU
Molecule: long non-coding RNA, 287 nt
Organism: Mauremys reevesii (Reeves's turtle)
Lineage: Eukaryota; Metazoa; Chordata; Testudines; Geoemydidae
Exons: 2
Source: RefSeq, a predicted model, not a curated record